RNAcentral lists this ribosomal RNA (253 nucleotides) under uncultured bacterium. Its description in RNAcentral is "partial 16S ribosomal RNA". It matches the Rfam family "Bacterial small subunit ribosomal RNA", at positions 524 to 776 of the family's 1533-position model. The record is from RNAcentral.
UACAGAGGGUGCAAGCGUUAAUCGGAAUUACUGGGCGUAAAGCGUGCGCAGACGGUCUCGUAAGUCGGGUGUGAAAUCCCCGGGCUCAACCUGGGAAUUGCAUUCGAAACUGCGAGGCUAGGGUACGGAAGAGGGAAGCGGAAUUUCUGGUGUAGCGGUGAAAUGCGUAGAUAUCGUAAGGAACACCCGUGGCGAAAGCGGCUCACUGGGUCUUCUCUGACGCUGAUGCACGAAAGCUAGGGGAGCAAACGGG